This 450-nucleotide ribosomal RNA is filed under the name uncultured Glomeromycotina. RNAcentral's name for it is "SSU rRNA". It matches the Rfam family "Eukaryotic small subunit ribosomal RNA", at positions 569 to 1025 of the family's 1831-position model. Lineage: Eukaryota; Fungi; Glomeromycota. The record is from RNAcentral.
AGCAGCCGCGGUAAUUCCAGCUCCAAUAGCGUAUAUUAAAGUUGCUGCAGUUAAAAAGCUCGUAGUUGAAUUUCGGGAUCAGUUGGUCGGUCGUGCCUCGGUACGUACUGGUCAAAUUGAUUCCUACCUUCUGACGAACCACGAUGUCAUUAAUUUGGUGUCGCGGGAAAUCAGGACUGUUACUUUGAAAAAAUUAGAGUGUUUAAAGCAGGCUCGCGCUUGAAUACAUUAGCAUGGAAUAAUGAAAUAGGACGUUUGAUUCUAUUUUGUUGGUUUCUAGGAUCGACGUAAUGAUUAAUAGGGAUAGUUGGGGGCAUUAGUAUUCAAUUGUCAGAGGUGAAAUUCUUGGAUUUAUUGAGGACUAACUACUGCGAAAGCAUUUGCCAAGGAUGUUUUCAUUAAUCAAGAACGAAAGUUAGGGAUCGAAGACGAUCAGAUACCGUCGUAGUC